CCAAUAGCGUAUAUUAAAGUUGUUGCAGUUAAAAAGCUCGUAGUUGAAUUUCGGGAUCAAUAUGUCGGUCGUGCCUUCGGUACGUACUGGUAUCAUUGGUCUCUCCUUUCUGACGAACCAUGAUGUCAUUAAUUUGGUGUUAUGGGGAGUUAGGACUGUUACUUUGAAAAAAUUAGAGUGUUUAAAGCAGGCUUUAGCUUGAAUACAUUAGCAUGGAAUAAUGAAAUAGGACGUUCGAACCUAUUUUGUUGGUUUCUAGGAUCAACGUAAUGAUUAAUAGGGGUAGUUGGGGGCAUUAGUAUUAAAUUGUCAGAGGUGAAAUUCUUUGAUUUAUUGAAGACUAACUACUGCGAAAGCAUUUGCCAAGGAUGUUUCCAUUAAUCAAGAACGAAAGUUAGGGGCUCGAAGACGAUCAGAUACCGUCGUAGUCUUAACCAUAAACUAUGCCGACUAGGGAUCGGAUGAUGUUAAUUUUUUAAUGACUCAUUCGGCGCCUUAUG
Molecule: ribosomal RNA, 500 nt
Filed under: uncultured Glomeromycotina
Lineage: Eukaryota; Fungi; Glomeromycota
Description: partial small subunit ribosomal RNA
Rfam family: Eukaryotic small subunit ribosomal RNA
Source: RNAcentral